GAUGAACGCUAGCUACAGGCUUAACACAUGCAAGUCGAGGGGAAACGAUAGGGAAAGCUUGCUUUUUCUAGGCGUCGACCGGCGCACGGGUGAGUAACGCGUAUCCAACCUGCCCAUCACUUGGGGAUAACCUUGCGAAAGUAAGACUAAUACCCAAUGACGUCUCUAGAAGACAUCUGAAGGAGAUUAAAGAUUUAUCGGUGAUGGAUGGGGAUGCGUCUGAUUAGCUUGUUGGCGGGGUAACGGCCCACCAAGGCGACGAUCAGUAGGGGUUCUGGGAGGAAGGUCCCCCACAUUGUAACUGAGACACGGUCCAAACUCCUACGGGAGGCAGCAGUGAGGAAUAUUGGUCAAUGGACGAGAGUCUGAACCAGCCAAGUAGCGUGCAGGAAGACGGCCCUAUGGGUUGUAAACUGCUUUUAUAAGGGAAUAAAGUGAGUCUCGUGAGACUUUUUGCAUGUACCUUAUGAAUAAGGACCGGCUAAUUCCGUGCCAGCCGCCGCCGUAA
This 508-nucleotide ribosomal RNA is filed under the name uncultured bacterium. Its description in RNAcentral is "partial 16S ribosomal RNA". It matches the Rfam family "Bacterial small subunit ribosomal RNA", at positions 28 to 523 of the family's 1533-position model. The record is from RNAcentral.